AUUGAACGCUGGCGGCAGGCCUAACACAUGCAAGUCGAGCGGAGCGGCGGACGGGUGAGUGAUGCCUAGGAAUCUGCCUGGUCGUGGGGGAUAACGUCCGGUAACGGGCGCUAAUACCGCAUACUAUCAGAUGAGCCUCGUUCGGAUUAGCUAGUUGGUGGGGUAAAGGCCUACCAAGUCGACGAUCCGUCACUGGGCUGAGAGGAUGAUCAGUCACACUGGAACUGAGACACGGUCCAGACUCCUCAGGGAGGCAGCAGGGGGGAAUAUUGGACAAGGGGCGAAAGCCUGAUCCAGCCAUGCCGCGUGUGUGAAGAAGGUCUUCGGAUUGGAAAGCACGUUAAGUUGGGAGGCGUUACCAACAGAAGAAGCACCGGCUAACUCCGUGCCAGCAGCCGCGGUAAUAC
This 407-nucleotide ribosomal RNA is filed under the name uncultured bacterium. RNAcentral describes it as "partial 16S ribosomal RNA". It matches the Rfam family "Bacterial small subunit ribosomal RNA", at positions 30 to 526 of the family's 1533-position model. The record is from RNAcentral.